AUACAUGAACAGGCAAUGAGAGAACAUAAUGAAGAAAAAAUCAAGAAAAAGAGAACCAUUGCUCUCAAGUCAAUCGCAUAAGAAGAAGAAGAGUCCGAUUAAUCCAAAGAUCAUGACAAAAAUAAGAAGAUAGAUCUCAUUAUCUAAAAAUUUAGAAGAUUCAUAAAGAAAAAGAAGAUGAGGGAUGAGAGGAAAGCCACUAGCUAAGAGAG
RNAcentral lists this long non-coding RNA (212 nucleotides) under Elaeis guineensis (African oil palm). RNAcentral's name for it is "long non-coding RNA (EGUI_LNC002338)". Lineage: Eukaryota; Viridiplantae; Streptophyta; Magnoliopsida; Arecales; Arecaceae. The record is from RNAcentral.